Molecule: ribosomal RNA, 562 nt
Filed under: uncultured bacterium
Lineage: Bacteria
Description: partial 16S ribosomal RNA
Rfam family: Bacterial small subunit ribosomal RNA
Source: RNAcentral
UGGGGAAUAUUGGACAAUGGGGGCAACCCUGAUCCAGCCAUGCCGCGUGAGUGAUGAAGGCCUUCGGGUUGUAAAGCUCUUUUGGCGGGGACGAUGAUGACGGUACCCGCAGAAUAAGCCCCGGCUAACUUCGUGCCAGCAGCCGCGGUAAGACGAAGGGGGCUAGCGUUGUUCGGAAUUACUGGGCGUAAAGCGAGUGUAGGCGGUUGCCGUAGUCAGGUGUGAAAGCCUUGAGCUCAACUCAAGAAAUGCACUUGAUACUGGGUGACUAGAGGACCGGAGAGGAUAGUGGAAUUCCCAGUGUAGUGGUGAAAUACGUAGAGAUUGGGAAGAACACCAGUGGCGAAGGCGGCUAUCUGGACGGUUACUGACGCUAAGACUCGAAAGCGUGGGGAGCAAAACAGGAUUAGAUACCCUGGUAGUCCACGCCGUAAACGAUGGGUGCUAGACGUUGGCGAGCUUGCUCGUCAGUGUCGCAGCCAACGCGUUAAGCACCCCGCCUGGGGAGUACGGCCGCAAGGUUGAAACUCAAAAUGAAUUGACGGGGUCAUAGCUGUUUCCU